UAGAGAUGCACAUAAAAAUGUGGUUUGACACCUAACCUUGACUCUUAUAGUCUCAACAUUUAUUACAUCCAACAUCAACAUGUACACGAGCAACCAUAACAUCUAUGACCAAUAUGUGGAGACAACCAGGACAUGCAUGGGAGCAACCUUGACACAUAAUAUGUAUCAGCCUUGACAUAUUUGUCUUCCGGCAAUGACAUUUUAUACAUGUGAAGAUUUCUUAUAACCCUACCUUCACAC
This 240-nucleotide long non-coding RNA is filed under the name Vitis vinifera (wine grape). Its description in RNAcentral is "long non-coding RNA (VVIN_LNC002383)". The record is from RNAcentral. Lineage: Eukaryota; Viridiplantae; Streptophyta; Magnoliopsida; Vitales; Vitaceae.